This 440-nucleotide ribosomal RNA is filed under the name uncultured bacterium. Its description in RNAcentral is "partial 16S ribosomal RNA". It matches the Rfam family "Bacterial small subunit ribosomal RNA", at positions 338 to 795 of the family's 1533-position model. The record is from RNAcentral.
CCUACGGGAGGCAGCAGUGGGGAAUAUUGCACAAUGGGGGAAACCCUGAUGCAGCGACGCCGCGUGAGUGAAGAAGCGCCUCGGCGCGUAAAGCUCUGUCAGCAGGAACGAUAAUGACGGUACCUGAAGAAGAAGCCCCGGCUAACUACGUGCCAGCAGCCGCGGUGAUCCGGAGGGGGCAAGCGUUAUCCGGAUUUAAUGGGUGUAAAGGGGGCGUAGACGGCGGGGCGAGUCUGGAGUGAAAGGCCGGGGCCCAACCCCGGGAACGCUCUGGAAACUGCCCGGCUGGAGUGCGGGAGAGGUAAGCGGAAUGCCUAGUGUAGCGGUGAAAUGCGUAGAUAUUAGUAGGAACACCGGCGGCGAAGGCGGCCUGCUGGACCGUAACUGACGUUGAGGCUCGAAAGCGUGGGGAGCAAACAGGAUUAGAUACCCGAGUAGUC